UCUUUGCAAAAAAAAAAAAAAGCUAUUUUCUGUAGUCCAGUAAUGAUCGAUCUUUCUCUUCUGGAAUCGUUGCUGUGUUCAUGGAUGAUUGUAUCUAAUGUCUAUCGUUACUAUCUAUUCUCUAUUGUCUGCUUCUAUAAUUGAAUUCCAUUUCUUUCAAAUUUUUGCCCUUUCUAUUAGCUCAAUUGUAUUUUGUGUGUAUGUGUGUGUGUG
This 213-nucleotide unclassified non-coding RNA is filed under the name Hevea brasiliensis (rubber tree). Lineage: Eukaryota; Viridiplantae; Streptophyta; Magnoliopsida; Malpighiales; Euphorbiaceae. The record is from RNAcentral.